CUAUAUGAUGACAAAGAGCUAUACGCUCGAUAUAAUCCCAGCUCGUCGAAUGGUCUCACCUAAAUUACAACGCUUAGAGAUCAUACUGAGAUGACGUCCCAUUCUGACCC
This 110-nucleotide small nucleolar RNA is filed under the name Xylona heveae TC161. Its description in RNAcentral is "A. fumigatus snoRNA Afu_304". It matches the Rfam family "A. fumigatus snoRNA Afu_304". The record is from Rfam by way of RNAcentral. Lineage: Eukaryota; Fungi; Ascomycota; Xylonomycetes; Xylonales; Xylonaceae.